GACGAGCGCUGGCGGCGUGCUUAACACAUGCAAGUCGAACGGAAAGGCCCUGCUUUUGUGGGGUGCUCGAGUGGCGAACGGGUGAGUAACACGUGAGUAACCUGCCCUUGACUUUGGGAUAACUUCAGGAAACUGGGGCUAAUACCGGAUAGCAGCUCCUGCUGCAUGGUGGGGGUUGGAAAGUUUCGGCGGUUGGGGAUGGACUCGCGGCUUAUCAGCUUGUUGGUGGGGUAGUGGCUUACCAAGGCUUUGACGGGUAGCCGGCCUGAGAGGGUGACCGGCCACAUUGGGACUGAGAUACGGCCCAGACUCCUACGGGAGGCAGCAGUGGGGAAUAUUGCACAAUGGGCGGAAGCCUGAUGCAGCAACGCCGCGUGCGGGAUGACGGCCUUCGGGUUGUAAACCGCUUUCGCCUGUGACGAAGCGUGAGUGACGGUAAUGGGUAAAGAAGCACCGGCUAACUACGUG
RNAcentral lists this ribosomal RNA (468 nucleotides) under uncultured bacterium. RNAcentral describes it as "partial 16S ribosomal RNA". It matches the Rfam family "Bacterial small subunit ribosomal RNA", at positions 28 to 507 of the family's 1533-position model. The record is from RNAcentral.